UCAGACUCGCGGCACCGAGCUCAGUAACACGUGGCCAAACUACCCUACAGAGACGGAUACCCUCGGGAAACUGAGGUUAACCCGUCAUACCGAUCUCAGGCUUGAAUCGCAGAGAUCACAAAACGCCCCGGCGCUGUAGGAUGUGGCUGCGGUUGAUUAGGUAGACGGUGGGGUAACGGCCCACCGUGCCCAUAAUCAGUACAGGUUGUGAGAGCAAGAACCUGGAGACGGAAUCUGAGACAAGAUUCCGGGCCCUACGGGGCGCAGCAGGCGCGAAACCUUUACACUGCACGCACGUGCGAUAAGGGGACUCCGAGUGCGAGGGCAUAUCGUCCUCGCUUUCGUGUACCGUAGGGUGGUACACCAACAAGGGCUGGGCAAGACCGGUGCCAGCCGCCGCGGUAAUACCGGCAGCCCGAGUGAUGGCCGAUCUUAUUGGGCCUAAAGCGUCCGUAGCUGGCUGCGCAAGUCCGUCGGGAAAUCCACUCGCCCAACGAGUGGGCGUCCGACGGAAACUGCACAGCUUGGGACCGGAAGGCUCGAAGGGUACGUUCGGGGUAGGAGUGAAAUCCCAUAAUCCCGCACGGACCACCGAUGGCGAAAGCACUUCGAGAAAACGGAUCCGACAGUGAGGGACGAAAGCCAGGGUCUCCAACCGGAUUAGAUACCCGGGUAGUCCUGGCCGUAAACAAUGUUCGCUAGGUAUGACACAGACUACGCGUCUCUGUUGUGCCGUAGGGAAGCCG
Molecule: ribosomal RNA, 746 nt
Filed under: uncultured archaeon
Lineage: Archaea
Description: bacterial SSU rRNA
Rfam family: Archaeal small subunit ribosomal RNA
Source: RNAcentral